Brassica napus (rape) is the source of this 128-nucleotide non-coding RNA. Lineage: Eukaryota; Viridiplantae; Streptophyta; Magnoliopsida; Brassicales; Brassicaceae. The record is from Rfam.
GGAAUAUAAGAAACCGUUUCUUAACUUUUAACUAAAAAAGUUAAUAAACCUCUUAAAUAAGAUAUUUAAAAGCCGGUUCUUAAUUUUUUUAGUUAAAAGUUAAGAGACGAGACGGUUUCUUAUAUUUC